ACAAACAAACUUACCUGGUAGGGAACCGUCACCUGCCAGUUAUAAAGUGUACACUACUACAGUACCACGAGUCCUGUGUAGGGGAAACAACAGAUGCAGAGGAAGGCGAGGUCGGGGAAGUAGACUGAGUGGACCGACCAACAAAGAUGCAUUAGAGAAACUGUCAAAAGUUCACCCACUUCCUUCACUCAUCCUGCAGUGGCCCAAGAUAAACUCAUCUCUUAUCAAGAAGUGAAGAACAAGGGACAGACUGAUGACAGAGGCUACAUCACCACCACCACCAGAUGACAGA
Molecule: long non-coding RNA, 292 nt
Organism: Homarus americanus (American lobster)
Lineage: Eukaryota; Metazoa; Arthropoda; Malacostraca; Decapoda; Nephropidae
Exons: 3
Source: RefSeq, a predicted model, not a curated record